ACGGGAGGCAGCAGUGGGGAAUAUUGGACAAUGGGGGCAACCCUGAUCCAGCGACGCCGCGUGAGUGAAGAAGUAUUUCGGUAUGUAAAGCUCUAUCAGCAGGGACGAUAAUGACGGUACCUGACUAAGAAGCCCCGGCUAACUACGUGCCAGCAGCCGCGGUAAUACGUAGGAUGCAAGCGUUAUCCGGAUUUAUUGGGUUUAAAGGGUGCGUAGGCUGUGCCGCAAGUCAGUGGUGAAAGCCCGGGGCUUAACUCCGGAACUGCCAUUGAUACUGUGGUGCUGGAAUACGGAUGCCGUGGGAGGAAUGAGUAGUGUAGCGGUGAAAUGCAUAGAUAUUACUCAGAACACCGAUUGCGAAGGCAUCUCACGAAUCCGUCAUUGACGCUGAGGCACGAAAGCGUGGGGAUCAAACAGGAUUAGAUACCCUGGUA
Molecule: ribosomal RNA, 434 nt
Filed under: uncultured Clostridium sp.
Lineage: Bacteria; Bacillati; Bacillota; Clostridia; Eubacteriales; Clostridiaceae
Description: partial 16S ribosomal RNA
Rfam family: Bacterial small subunit ribosomal RNA
Source: RNAcentral